GCCGAAGCCCCCGAUGGAGAGGAAGACGAGGAUGUUCUUGGACUGGCAGUGCUUGAUGUCGGCGCCGACGGCGGAGACGUCGUGGCCGGACAGGUCGAGGUGGUAGUUGCCGCGGCCGAAGACGUCGAGGAAGGAGAUGAUGGCGAUGGUGUAGGUGCCGGUGUCGCAGGCCUCGCGGAGGGACCCCUCGUUCUUGUUCCUACCCCAGAACACGGCCACCUGGCCGGUC
This 229-nucleotide long non-coding RNA is filed under the name Triticum aestivum (bread wheat). Its description in RNAcentral is "long non-coding RNA (TAES_LNC001702)". The record is from RNAcentral. Lineage: Eukaryota; Viridiplantae; Streptophyta; Magnoliopsida; Poales; Poaceae.